This is a long non-coding RNA of Cyprinodon tularosa, 166 nucleotides long. RefSeq lists it as uncharacterized. The record is from RefSeq and is a predicted model, not a curated record. The transcript has 2 exons. NCBI's taxonomy places the organism in Eukaryota, Metazoa, Chordata, Actinopteri, Cyprinodontiformes, Cyprinodontidae.
CCGUGUGGGACCACUUUGAUGUCAUUUCGGAAAAUAAGAUGACCUUUGGGAACAUUUUGAUCUCGAAGUGGGGAGGCAGACCAAAAGUGCCACAGCUGAUGCCAUCCUUGAGGUGCAGAGAUACAUGGCAGAGGGCAAUAUUGCGAGGUCCCAGGAUCCUCUUGUA